UCAGAUCAGAAGCGAGAAUGUUGACAUGAGUAGCGACAAACAGGGUGAGAGACCCCGUCGCCGAAAGUCCAAGGGUUCCUGCUUAAAGCUAAUCUGAGCAGGGUAAGCCGGCCCCUAAGGCGAGGCCGAAAGGCGUAGUCGAUGGGAACCAGGUUAAUAUUCCUGGGCCAGGAGGAAGUGACGGAUCUCAAAGGUAGUUUGCCCUUAUCGGAUUGGGUGGGCUGCUCAGAGGUCCCUGGAAAUAGCCCUCCAUCAGACCGUACCCUAAACCGACACAGGUGGACUGGUAGAGUAUACCAAGGCGCUUGAGAGAACCACAUCAAAGGAACUCGGCAAAAUGCCUCCGUAAGUUCGCGAGAAGGAGGCCCCACUUUUACGCAAGUAGAGGUGGGGGGCACAAACUAGGGGGUGGCGACUGUUUACUUAAAACACAGGGCUCUGCGAAGCCGUAAGGCGACGUAUAGGGCCUGACGCCUGCCCGGUGCUGGAAGGUUAAAAGGAGGGGUGCAAGCUCCGAAUUGAAGCCCCAGUAAACGGCGGCCGUAACGAUAACGGUCCUAAGGUAGCGAAAUUCCUUGUCGGGUAAGUUCCGACCUGCACGAAUGGCGUAACGAUCUCCCCGCUGUCUCUGAUGUGGACUCAGCGAAAUUGAACUGUGUGUCAAGAUGCACACUACCCGCGGUUAGACGGAAAGACCCCAUGAACCUUUACUCUAGCUUUGCACUGGCAUCAGGAUUGUGAUGUGCAGGAUAGGUGGUAGGCAUUGAAACCGGGACGCCAGUCUCGGUGGAGCCUCCCUUGAGAUACCACCCUUCGCACUCUUGAUGUCUAACCGCGGCCCGUUAUCCGGGUCCGGGACCCUGCAUGGUGGGGAGUUUGACUGGGGCGGUCGCCUCCCAAAUCGUAACGGAGGCGCGCGAAGGUUGGCUCAGAGCGGUCGGAAAUCGCUCGUUGAGUGCAAUGGCAGAAGCCAGCCUGACUGCGAGACUGACAAGUCGAGCAGAGACGAAAGUCGGCCAUAGUGAUCCGGUGGUCCCAAGUGGGAGGGCCAUCGCUCAACGGAUAAAAGGUACUCUGGGGAUAACAGGCUGAUGAUGCCCAAGAGUCCAUAUCGACGGCAUCGUUUGGCACCUCGAUGUCGGCUCAUCUCAUCCUGGGGCUGGAGCAGGUCCCAAGGGUAUGGCUGUUCGCCAUUUAAAGAGGUACGUGAGCUGGGUUUAGAACGUCGUGAGACAGUUCGGUCCCUAUCUGCCGUGGGUGUAGGAGACUUGAGAAGAGUUGCCCCUAGUACGAGAGGACCGGGGUGAACGAUCCACUGGUGGACCAGUUGUCGUGCCAACGGCAGUGCUGGGUAGCUAUGAUCGGACAGGAUAAACGCUGAAGGCAUCUAAGCGUGAAGCCCCCUUCAAAACGAGGUCUCCCUUGAGGACCGUGGAAGACCACCACGUCGAUAGGCCGGAGGUGUAAGUGCGGCAACGCAUUCAGCUGACCGGUACUAAUUGCUC
RNAcentral lists this ribosomal RNA (1505 nucleotides) under metagenome. RNAcentral describes it as "bacterial LSU rRNA". It matches the Rfam family "Bacterial large subunit ribosomal RNA", at positions 1277 to 2910 of the family's 2925-position model. The record is from RNAcentral.